AAAACUUUCAACAACGGAUCUCUUGGUUCCAGCAUCGAWGAAGAACGCAGCGAAAUGCGAUAAGUAAUGUGAAUUGCAGAAUUCAGUGAAUCAUCGAAUCUUUGAACGCACAWUGCGCCCCCUGGUAUUCCGGGGGGCAUGCCUGUUCGAGCGUCAW
RNAcentral lists this ribosomal RNA (157 nucleotides) under Parmelia sulcata. RNAcentral's name for it is "5.8S ribosomal RNA". It matches the Rfam family "5.8S ribosomal RNA". Rfam says of the family: 5.8S ribosomal RNA (5.8S rRNA) is a component of the large subunit of the eukaryotic ribosome. It is transcribed by RNA polymerase I as part of the 45S precursor that also contains 18S and 28S rRNA. The record is from RNAcentral. Lineage: Eukaryota; Fungi; Ascomycota; Lecanoromycetes; Lecanorales; Parmeliaceae.